GAUAGGGAGCUGCCUCCCCAAAGGCAGCCAUCUCAGCAUCUGGAGAAGCCAUGUCUGCACUUACACAGGAGGCAGUCAGAAGAGUACUCUGUAGAAUAGAAGAUAUAUUGAGUAUAGCCUGGAGCCCACUGGGACUAGAAACAAAGCACAGCACAGCACAGCCAGAAGAGACAGAACGAGAGAAAUCUCUGAAAACAGACAUUCCUGCACAGCAGCACUGUGUGGGCGUUGUGCUGGCAUUCCCCAGAGAGGAGAGGGCAUUCACACAUGCUGGAAAUAGAUUCCACCUCACUUUCUGCAGGUCCUUAUGAUAUGAGUUUCCUUGCCUUGUGUUCAGUGAGCAUGAACUGAGGCAGACACUCGUGAGCACCAGUGAAGUACAAGCAUGGAGCACUGUCAAGGAUGUUGCAUUUGUGGCCCAUUGCCAACCACACUCUCAGCUCUGCUUUUUAGAGCAGCAGCAUCAACCUUGCAACCUGCCUAGUUAGAAGGAAAUUCCACACCCACUGUCUUCUGCUUAGGUCCUCUGCUCCUUCUAGCCCGGACCAAUCUGAGCAGGACCUCCUAGCUAGCUGUAACGACAGAAGAUGCAUGGCUGCAAGUCACUGGCCUGGCCUCCUCUUCAGACCCAUUGGUCUUCUUUUCUGCCCGGAAAGAAGCAAGCAAAGUCAACCCAGUUGGACCAUGUGGGAAUCAACAAGGAAAGUUCAAGAAGGCAUCUUCUUAGGAGUCAAUAUGUUUGAUGUAAGAUUUAACCUUAGCAGCUGGUGAAUUCCAGUAGAGCAAAGAAGCUGUUGGUGAGCUCCCCUCUAAGACUCUGAAGAAGCACAGCAUCAAGGUCACCACCACACAGUCUGUGCUUAAUGCUUCACUAUAGCAGCAGGUACCUUUGUUACUGAUAUUAGUUUCCUUUAACCAUGUGGCCAUAAUGAAGCAGUUGAACGAUGGACUUCACAAAUAUUUUGAGGUGAUGUAUUCAUGGGGACAUGAUACAAUAAACCAUUGCACCUUUCCUAAGCCAUCCUGAAGUGCCAGGUGAUAACAUAAAGUCCUCUUCUUCCAUGAAGUUUUAUCUGUCUCUUCAUCCUCCCAUAGAACAUCUUGCCACAGCUCACGGAGGUUGCACAGCUGUCUUGAGCCACACUGGACAGCAUGGCCUAAACUGCCAUCAACUAGUUGCGCCUGCUAACCUGGCCAUUCUCAUUAGCUGCUUCUUUCCCAGGAGCUCCUCCAGCUAUUUACUCUUUCCUCCACCAAUCCCUCCAGCUACACCUUCCUUCUUGACAUCCACGUCCCCCAGCUGCUUAUGCCCUGCUGGCAGCUCUAGCUAGCUGCUCCAAUUAAUCCCUUUAGCACUGAUGACUGAGUUGCUUCUUCAAAGUCUACUGACUGUGGCAAGACCCAUGGAGCAACCAGAGAGGAAGAGGUUUGUGCUACUGAACGGGUGUGGUUGAAAGAAGCCAACAAACCCGCACACAAGAGUAACAUUUCCUUCCCACUCUGGCACGCUGGUCACUUUGUUGGACAUGUCCCCAGGAACAGAUAACUACAAAACACAAUUCAACCAUGUUUCCGGCCUGCCCACUGAUUUCUUUUGUCAUGCAGUGCUUUCUUUUGACAGUGAAACCUGUGACUGUCAAUGACCAGGAAGGUGUCUCUUGGUCCUGCAUGCUGCAGGAGGGAUACUGAUUCAUACCAGCCUGCUGACAUUCUUUUAGACCUCAGUCCUGCUUCAUACAAGGUCUCAGCUUGACCUUUUGAUUCUUGGCAGAAAGCAUUUACCUGUCCUGGGCCUCAAAGAACCUGUUCCCAGCCAAUCUGGGCUGGGAACCCCAGAUGCUGCUGGAGCCAUUGUUUCACUUAUCUAUUACACAUCCUGUUAAGUUCAGUCCUUAACACGUCUCAGAUAAAAGAAUCAACCACCUCCAGAAACUGCAGAGGCCAGAAUGGAGUCAAACUCUUUCUCAGUGGUUUCUUAAAUGCUUAUGUGGAAUGCUGUUAAACCUACUACUCUUCUGCUAAUCCCAGAAACAUGGGAUAGAGUCUGCAGACCUGGUAGACUGGAAAAAGCAAUCCCUGUUGGAUUUGCAGCAUGCUAGUGUUUUUAUCAGCCAUGCUGCUCAGAUUAGCAGAACAUGCUUGUAGAGAUCAGCGUGCCCUGUGAAUUGCCUGUGGAUAUUGCGACAUGGAAGAGUGGCCUCAGGCUACCGUGUAGCAAAACAGACUUGACGGAGAAUGCUGGUUGCUGAAGUGGCAGCUACAGCAGCGGUAAGAGCAAUGACCUUCUUACCAUGGCUUCCUGCCGCCUGAAAACCACUGAGCAUCUCAGUGGAGAAGGAACAGAUUGCCUGACCAGACAGAGCCUGGAGCCCACUGGGACUAGAACCAAAGCACAGCACAGCACAGCCAGAAGAGACAGAACGAGAGAAAUCUCUGAAAACAGACAUUCCUGCACAGCAGCACUGUGUGGGCGUUGUGCUGGCAUUCCCCAGAGAGGAGAGGGCAUUCACACAUGCUGGAAAUAGAUUCCACCUCACUUUCUGCAGGUCCUUAUGAUAUGAGUUUCCUUGCCUUGUGUUCAGUGAGCAUGAACUGAGGCAGACACUCGUGAGCACCAGUGAAGUACAAGCAUGGAGCACUGUCAAGGAUGUUGCAUUUGUGGCCCAUUGCCAACCACACUCUCAGCUCUGCUUUUUAGAGCAGCAGCAUCAACCUUGCAACCUGCCUAGUUAGAAGGAAAUUCCACACCCACUGUCUUCUGCUUAGGUCCUCUGCUCCUUCUAGCCCGGACCAAUCUGAGCAGGACCUCCUAGCUAGCUGUAACGACAGAAGAUGCAUGGCUGCAAGUCACUGGCCUGGCCUCCUCUUCAGACCCAUUGGUCUUCUUUUCUGCCCGGAAAGAAGCAAGCAAAGUCAACCCAGUUGGACCAUGUGGGAAUCAACAAGGAAAGUUCAAGAAGGCAUCUUCUUAGGAGUCAAUAUGUUUGAUGUAAGAUUUAACCUUAGCAGCUGGUGAAUUCCAGUAGAGCAAAGAAGCUGUUGGUGAGCUCCCCUCUAAGACUCUGAAGAAGCACAGCAUCAAGGUCACCACCACACAGUCUGUGCUUAAUGCUUCACUAUAGCAGCAGGUACCUUUGUUACUGAUAUUAGUUUCCUUUAACCAUGUGGCCAUAAUGAAGCAGUUGAACGAUGGACUUCACAAAUAUUUUGAGGUGAUGUAUUCAUGGGGACAUGAUACAAUAAACCAUUGCACCUUUCCUAAGCCAUCCUGAAGUGCCAGGUGAUAACAUAAAGUCCUCUUCUUCCAUGAAGUUUUAUCUGUCUCUUCAUCCUCCCAUAGAACAUCUUGCCACAGCUCACGGAGGUUGCACAGCUGUCUUGAGCCACACUGGACAGCAUGGCCUAAACUGCCAUCAACUAGUUGCGCCUGCUAACCUGGCCAUUCUCAUUAGCUGCUUCUUUCCCAGGAGCUCCUCCAGCUAUUUACUCUUUCCUCCACCAAUCCCUCCAGCUACACCUUCCUUCUUGACAUCCACGUCCCCCAGCUGCUUAUGCCCUGCUGGCAGCUCUAGCUAGCUGCUCCAAUUAAUCCCUUUAGCACUGAUGACUGAGUUGCUUCUUCAAAGUCUACUGACUGUGGCAAGACCCAUGGAGCAACCAGAGAGGAAGAGGUUUGUGCUACUGAACGGGUGUGGUUGAAAGAAGCCAACAAACCCGCACACAAGAGUAACAUUUCCUUCCCACUCUGGCACGCUGGUCACUUUGUUGGACAUGUCCCCAGGAACAGAUAACUACAAAACACAAUUCAACCAUGUUUCCGGCCUGCCCACUGAUUUCUUUUGUCAUGCAGUGCUUUCUUUUGACAGUGAAACCUGUGACUGUCAAUGACCAGGAAGGUGUCUCUUGGUCCUGCAUGCUGCAGGAGGGAUACUGAUUCAUACCAGCCUGCUGACAUUCUUUUAGACCUCAGUCCUGCUUCAUACAAGGUCUCAGCUUGACCUUUUGAUUCUUGGCAGAAAGCAUUUACCUGUCCUGGGCCUCAAAGAACCUGUUCCCAGCCAAUCUGGGCUGGGAACCCCAGAUGCUGCUGGAGCCAUUGUUUCACUUAUCUAUUACACAUCCUGUUAAGUUCAGUCCUUAACACGUCUCAGAUAAAAGAAUCAACCACCUCCAGAAACUGCAGAGGCCAGAAUGGAGUCAAACUCUUUCUCAGUGGUUUCUUAAAUGCUUAUGUGGAAUGCUGUUAAACCUACUACUCUUCUGCUAAUCCCAGAAACAUGGGAUAGAGUCUGCAGACCUGGUAGACUGGAAAAAGCAAUCCCUGUUGGAUUUGCAGCAUGCUAGUGUUUUUAUCAGCCAUGCUGCUCAGAUUAGCAGAACAUGCUUGUAGAGAUCAGCGUGCCCUGUGAAUUGCCUGUGGAUAUUGCGACAUGGAAGAGUGGCCUCAGGCUACCGUGUAGCAAAACAGACUUGACGGAGAAUGCUGGUUGCUGAAGUGGCAGCUACAGCAGCGGUAAGAGCAAUGACCUUCUUACCAUGGCUUCCUGCCGCCUGAAAACCACUGAGCAUCUCAGUGGAGAAGGAACAGAUUGCCUGACCAGACAGAACCAACAAGCAAAAAUAUCAAGAAGAGCAGUGUCCUUUGGAGAUGACAAUUGCGAUGAAAUCCUGUCCCCUUUCAUGCUGAUUUGUCUCCUGGCUCUCCUUCCUGACUUCUUACCUGUGUGCAGUGCAUUCUGUACGAACAACAUGAGGGAAUGAAGUGCAGUCCGUGCAGUUGCAAAUGAGUGUGUAUGGAAAGCUGUCAUCCACCUUGCAAAGUUGAAAAUGUCAAGUGCAAGUCAGUACAGAUCACCUCCUUCUCAUCCCACAAGUUUCAAAAAAAGGAGCUCCCACUGCCAGAACAACAGGACUUCCAGAAAUUCCUUCUGAAGGUGCAACUGGAUGCUUUCUGCACUGGGCUACUCAGACACAACUCUAAGGCUCCAAACUGGCUGCAAGUCUGGUGUUGGUAUAUCUAUACCAAAGAACACCUUCCCUGCAGAUGCUUACUGCACAUGACAGCUGUCCCUAGGAAUAAAAUCCCAUGGACGUGCCUGGGUGGGCAAGGAGGUGUCAGGUCCAGUAAGAAGAUGGAACAGAAGAACUGAGACAGAGCAUAAUGAAGAAAAAAAGUUCCCCUUACUGCAGUUUGAUUUAUGCCUGGUUCCUGCUGACACGUGGUGGAAACCCUGAAUCCCUUCAGCUUCCCACAGCAGACUUGAGUAGCACAUAUGGGGGACCAAUGCCAGAACAGCCCUGAAUUCAGAACAGUACAAGGCACAGUUAGUUGGCAACUCACAGAUGGGCACAAAGUCAUUCCUUCCCCACUUUUCCUGUUAGAGAAGGAGUUGAAUCUGGACUUCCUGUGGUGUCACUGGACAGCUCAUGCUCAUAUCAUUCAGGUGUGCCUAUUGCAGGAAACAGCUAGGCUUCCGUAACAGAAGUACACAAACAUGCCAAGAGGGACCUUUGUGCCUGUGGAUCCUUAAUGAACAGACUGAUAACAAAUGUGUAGCCUCAUACCCCAGAGUAAAAUAAGACCUCUCAGGAAUGCUGGCAUGAGACAAGGAGAAAUGCCGGAACACUAAUUCUCUGGUGCAAAGCUUCUCAUCCCAACACUUCUGCUAAGAUGUGGCUGGGCACUGGACCCUGGAGCCUGGAGAUGGAAAAUGACUCUAACUGAAGAUGAGCAAUGUCUACCUCCUCUCCACCAUUCUCUGGUACUCCACUCUCAUCAGGAAGCCCCUGCACCUGGCCUGUGUGCGAGUGAUGAGCUGUGCCAGCUUCUCAUCCCUCAUUUCCUCCAGAAGUCCCAGCAGCCCAGCUUUGAAGAACACCUUGAGAAAGGGAAUGUUGCAACACAUCACUGCCAGAUUCUGCACUCUUCAGCAAGGGCUUGAUUUUGAAGAACAGCUUCAUCCAGGGCCAGUGCUUGACAUUCAUGAAUGCACGAAUGUUGUACUGGAUGCAGAAGAUGGACUCUCUGAAUGGAAGCCCCUGCACCUGGCUUGUGUGCGAGUAAUGAGCUGUGCCAGCUUCUCAUCCCUCAUCUCUUCCAAAAGGCCUAUCAGCCCAGCUUUGAAGAACACCUUAGGAACCCUGAAUUAGAAUCAUCCUAUGACAAUGAAUUUCACUGUUUUAUUGAAGUGGACUCUGUUGGGAAAUCCUUUCCUGCAAAUUCUGAUCCCUUCCAGCACACCGUUACACCGAAGCUGAUGCAGCACCAGCUCAUGUUCCAUGGCACCUAACAAUUCAGAGCACAAAUGAAUGUUGUAUUCUGUAAUACAUCAGGGAAGAUCAGCACCAUAUUGAAGACUUCCUGUAUUUUUCACAGUGACCUUCCCUGUUUCCCUGCUCUGGAUUGUCCCUUUUACAAAGGAUUCCUUGGGAUGGGCCACAAAGACGGAUGACUUGGCAUCAAAAGGGCGAGACUCUGCUGCGACCAGAAGCAAACCACAGCACAGUCAAAAGAGAAGAGGCAACCUGAAAGCCAUCUCUGGAUUCAGACUGUCCUGCACAGCAAUGUGAUGUGGGCAAGGCACUGGUGUGCUGACAUUUUCCAUGGAGGAGAGAGGAUUCAGGCGUACUGAAAAUAGAUCCCUCUUGAGAUGGAGAUCAGGCAGCUGCCUCACUUUCUGCCAGCCCUUAAGAUAUGUUAUUUUCUUCUCCAGAGCCCAGUGGCUGCUGAGAGACAAAGAGUGAGAAGAUGCCUUUUAGAUGGGCAACUAGAUUGGAGUGAGGAUGUGGAAGAACCUACAGACUGCCAAACGUUGGCUACUGAGAACCUCCCUUCCACUCCCAUUUAGUGCAGUUGAGCUUACGAGCUGGAAACAUGCAAAUACACCUGUAUGACAGGUACAUAUGUAAAAUUUUAAUUUCUAAAUUUAAAAGUUGCAGUAUCACAAGCUUCAACUAUUUACAGCUUUUUUUAGCUGCAUUGACUUCAACCUUAUUGAGUCAGUCUCACUUGACUCCUCUUUCCCACCAACUUUCCCCACAUGCCUAUUUCACAAAGACCAGAUCACUGUCUUCCUGAGGAUUUUUUCCCCUGCAGAAUACAUAUUCAACUGAGAGGAAUUCAAGAAGUCCCACUCAUGAUGACACAAAAUUCAACUUCACCAAAUUUGUGAAUGACACUAAAUUAGACAGAGUAGAUGAUAUGACAAAUGACAGAGCUUCAUUCCAAAGGGACAUUAUGAAACUUUAAGAAAGAACAUUAAGACUGGAUCAACAAAAACCUUAUGAAAAUCAUUGCAGAAUAGUACAAAGCUCACAUCUGGGAAAAGAGUAAGCCCCAGGUGUCAGUACAGGCUGGGAACUGACUAGUUCAGCAGAAGCCUUGUCAAAAAAGACUUGGAAGUUAUGGUGGAUGCCCAGAAGAAUAAUGAGUGCUCUUGCUGCAAACAUGACAAAGUACUGGAUGAUGUUAAAAGCAUGUUCAGCUGAUUGUAGGAAACCAUUAACCCUCUUGCUUGGUACCGGUGGGUUGUCAUCUGAAAUGGCUUGUCCACUUCUGGGCUCUCCUGUUCAAAAAGGUUGUACACUAAUGGGAGAAGAUGCAGCAGAAGGCUACCAAGAUGAUCUAGAAAAUUAGUUCUGUGAGGAGAUUUUGAGGGUAUUUAAUCUGAGGAAAAAAGGUCUAAGUUUCAUGAGGGGAAGUUACAAGUACAAUGUUCCAAACUUUUCUCAUUAGUAGACAAUGUAACAAGGGAUGAUGAUCACAUAUAACAUCUGGAGAAGCUCCAGUAAGUCAUUAGGAAAUUUCUUCACUAUUAGGUAAUGCUGUAAUGGCACAGGCUACCCAAGAGAGGUGGCUGAGCCUCUGUCCCUGAGGCGUGGCUAAUCAAAGCCAUGACUAACCUGACUGAUAUCAGCAAGACAUCUUGAAUUGGGAGACUGAAUAAAAGCCCUCCAAAUGUCCCUUUACAACAGUAUUUCUGUGGCUCUAAUGUAGAGGUUCCAUCUCUUUAUCCAAGUGGACAGUAGCUCAAAGCUGGGCAGAUAUCUGCAGCUUCAUGUCUUGUCAUGAAGAUUUUCCCUGAGAAAAAAACCUCAGCUCUUUGUCAACAUCAGCUCUGCUCUUGGCUUGGACUGGCGCAUGCUUCGUUGGGUUAGAAACUGCCUGGAUAGCCGGGCCCAAAGAGUCGUGCUGACAAAGGAGCUGUGCCGGAGCAGGCCUUUCUGGGAUAAGAAUAGCAUCUGCCAUCUUAGGACACAGCACAGUUGUCCAGCUCCUACAUGGCAACGCAUUGCAGUGAGAUAUAGAAGGCAAGCUACCCGCUGAGGAAUGUCUUCAAGCGCUAUUAGUGGAAGCAUAUCAUCUACACAAGCAGGCAUGGCUUCACGCAGGAGUCUUGCAAGAGGCAGCUAUUUUUAGCUUUUGACACUGCCAAUGAAGGGAGACAAAUGGCAAAGUGAUCCUCCUGGCACAGGCAACCUCCAGAGCUCUCUGAGCAAGCCCCUUCUGGGAAUGACUCUUGUCAAGGCUGCAGGGCCUGAGGGUGCAGGAGAUGGGGAGUGCUGGUGCACUCCCAGGAGGGAGCUGUGAAUUUGCUGGGGACACAAGGCCUCGGUCCCACCAGCACUGCCCAGCUGCACUUACAGCAAGUUGUCCCUGAAGGCGUGCACCUGUCCCUGAGCUUAGGACAUUCCGCUGCCUGCUUUAUCUUCAGCCACAUCCCUGAGCGCUAGGGAGAGAACGGGGGGCAUGGAACUUUGUGAAGGACAUUGAGGUGCUGGAGCCUGUCCAGAGAAGGGCAAUGAAGCUGGUGAAGGGUCUACAGAGCAAGGUUUAUGAGGAGUGGCUGAGGGAACUGGGGUUGUUUAGGCUGGAAAAAAGAAGGCUCAGGGUGGGCCAUAUUGUAUUUUUUAUUUACCUUAAAGGAGAUUGUAGCGAGGUAAGGAUUGGGAUUUUCUCCCAAGCACCAAGUGAUAAGAUGAGAGGAAAUGGCCUUAAGUUGCACCAGGGGAGGUUUAGGUUGUAUAUUAGAAGAAAUUUAUUCACUGAAAGGGUUGUAUGGCAUUGGAACAGGCUGCCAU
Molecule: non-coding RNA, 9081 nt
Organism: Anas platyrhynchos (mallard)
Lineage: Eukaryota; Metazoa; Chordata; Aves; Anseriformes; Anatidae
Source: RefSeq, a predicted model, not a curated record